This 83-nucleotide transfer RNA is filed under the name Candidatus Kaiserbacteria bacterium RIFCSPHIGHO2_01_FULL_50_13. Its description in RNAcentral is "tRNA-Leu". It matches the Rfam family "tRNA". From Rfam's summary of the family: Transfer RNA (tRNA) molecules are approximately 80 nucleotides in length. RNAcentral also lists the same sequence under 2 other names. Lineage: Bacteria; Candidatus Kaiseribacteriota. The record is from RNAcentral.
GGGCGCGUGGUGGAACGGUAGACACGCUGGCUUCAGGAGCCAGUCUUCGUAAGGAGGUGAGAGUUCAAAUCUCUCCGCGCCCA